GGGGGGGGGGGGGGGGGGGGGGGGGGGAGGGGAGUGGGACGGGGGGAGGGUAAGAGGUUGCUCUGACGGGUGGCGAGUGGCGGACGGGUGAGGAAUACAUCGGAGUCUACUUUUUAGUGGGGGGUACAGUAGGGCAAUUUACGCUAAUCCCGCAUACGACCUUCGGGUGACCGCCGGGGUUCUUCGGACCUUGCGCGGUUUGAUGCUCCUAUGUCGGAUUCGCUAGUUGGCGGGGUAAAGGCCCACCAAGGCGACGAUCCGUAGCUGGUCGGAGAGGAUGAGCAGCCACACUGGAACUGAGACACGGUCCAGACUCCUACGGGAGGCAGCAGUGGGGAAUAUUGGACAAUGGGCGCAAGCCUGAUCCAGCCAUACCGCGUGGGUGAAGAAGGCCUUCGGGUUGUAAAGCCCUUUUGUUGGGAAAGAAAAGCAGCAGGUUAAUACCCCGCUGUUCUGACGGUACCCAAAGAAUAAGCACCGGCUAACUUCGUG
Molecule: ribosomal RNA, 492 nt
Filed under: uncultured bacterium
Lineage: Bacteria
Description: partial 16S ribosomal RNA
Rfam family: Bacterial small subunit ribosomal RNA
Source: RNAcentral